GGCAGAGUCAAGCGGUUCCCUUAACUAUUCUGUAAUGGAAAAUCGAAGCAAUCUCGAGCAGAAUCCAGCUGUUAUCGUCUUUCCGCGCGAUGUUAUCUUCGGCAGUGACGAAGUAAUCCCAUACCCAAAUAUGACUAUAGCUAAACUAAUGGAGGCCUAUGACAAGUGCCUCUCUAGAAUGGGCAAGUAUGAAGCGGAUCGGCGUUCGUCUU
Long non-coding RNA from Nymphaea colorata (pocket water lily), 212 nucleotides. RefSeq lists it as uncharacterized. Lineage: Eukaryota; Viridiplantae; Streptophyta; Magnoliopsida; Nymphaeales; Nymphaeaceae. The transcript has 3 exons. The record is from RefSeq and is a predicted model, not a curated record.